Molecule: ribosomal RNA, 484 nt
Filed under: uncultured bacterium
Lineage: Bacteria
Description: partial 16S ribosomal RNA
Rfam family: Bacterial small subunit ribosomal RNA
Source: RNAcentral
AUUGAACGCUGGCGGCAGGCCUAACACAUGCAAGUCGAGCGGAUGAAGGGAGCUUGCUCCUGGAUUCAGCGGCGGACGGGUGAGUAAUGCCUAGGAAUCUGCCUGGUAGUGGGGGAUAACGUCCGGAAACGGGCGCUAAUACCGCAUACGUCCUGAGGGAGAAAGUGGGGGAUCUUCGGACCUCAAGCUAUCAGAUGAGCCUAGGUCGGAUUAGCUAGUUGGUGGGGUAAAGGCCUACCAAGGCGACGAUCCGUAACUGGUCUGAGAGGAUGAUCAGUCACACUGGAACUUAGACACGGUCCAGACUCCUACGGGAGGCAGCAGUGGGGAAUAUUGGACAAAUGGCGAAAGCCUGAUCCAGCCAUGCCGCGUGUGUGAAGAAGGUCUUCGGAUUGUAAAGCACUUUAAGUUGGGAGGAAGGGCAGUAAGUUAAUACCUUGCUGUUUUGACGUUACCAACAGAAUAAGCACCAGCUAACUUCGUG